Molecule: long non-coding RNA, 920 nt
Organism: Macadamia integrifolia
Lineage: Eukaryota; Viridiplantae; Streptophyta; Magnoliopsida; Proteales; Proteaceae
Exons: 2
Source: RefSeq, a predicted model, not a curated record
UGAGACAAUUGCAAACGGGCUGGUUCUGCAUCUCGGUUCAGUUUUGAUCCAUUAUUCUCUUUUUGGCCUGAAAAGAAUAAUCAUUUGUACGAGUAACCAAACGAAUGCGUACUUUUAAUUGGACACGUCCAUUUUGCUCAGAAUUGUGUCCUCUUCGCAACCAUGAAAAGAAAUAGGACCUCUUUACGUGUAAAAUUGGAGAUAUAGCACCCGAUAGUCCUUAAGGCCUUGAAAAUAUAAAACCUGCAAAAAGAGAGUAAAACCCAAGGUAGCUCCAUUCUAAAUAUGUAAAAUGCAUAUUUUACUACUCUAGAUUUCACACAUAAAUGUGCUCAUCAGUUGGCUUAUGAGGUGUUAUGUUAUUGUGGUCCGUUUAUCUUUGUUGGAAUGAUUAUUAUGCUUAAAUGUUGGUUUUGAAGGGAUUUAUUUGCUGCAUUGUAGGUACCUAGCCAGUGGAUGUGAAUGCUAAGAGGGUUUAAGAUGUUUUCACACACAAAAGAUUACUACAACUGUCGUUCAUGACCUUGAUAAAAGAUUUGAGGUCUUGAAGAUGAGGAACUGUAGUUUGGAGCAAUUUUUAUGGCUGUAAUUCUCUUUGAGGAGUCUUUUAUUUUUAUUUAUUUUGUUGGUAAACGUGACUCUUUUGAUUCAUUUUGUAAAAUUAUGGGUGAUGGACUGUAUUUACAUCCAUUGGUUGCUUCUUCGUUUUUAAGCACUUCUCCUUAUGUAUGGUCUCCAAGGAUGUAGUUGCAGACUUGUAGUUAAUGCAGUAGGUAGAAGUAGGUGGACCACUAUUUUCACUGGGUAUGAUGCUUGAAAUUGAAGGUCUUCAUGCUGUUCAUUGUUUUAUUUUGUUAACAGCUAACUACCAUGUAUAUUUUUCAUUUUUGUUCAUAUAUUUAAUCAUUAUUUGGUGUUCU